UCAAGCGAAUAAGAGCGCAGGGUGGAUGCCUUGGCACUAAGAGCCGAUGAAAGACGUGAUAAGCUGCGAAAAGCUUCGGGGAGGAGCAAAUAUCCUUUGAUCCGGAGAUUUCUGAAUGGGGAAACCUACUUGAGCAAACCUCAAGUAUCCUUAAGCCAAUACAUAACUUAAGGAAGGGAACCCGGUGAACUGAAACAUCUAAGUAGCCGGAGGAAGAGAAAACAACAUGUGAUUCUGUGAGUAGCGGCGAGCGAAAACGGAAGAGCCCAAACCAGCGUGCGUGCAUGCUGGGGUUAAGGACUGCAACAAGUGACCGGAAGGUUAACAGAAUGGUUUUGGGAAAGCCAGCCAGAGAGGGUGAAAGCCCCGUAAGCGAAAGACGAGUUGACAUGGCGGGAUCCAGAGUACCACGAGACACGUGGAACCUUGUGGGAAGAUGCGGGGACCACCCCGUAAGGCUAAAUACUACUUAGUGACCGAUAGCGCAUAGUACUGUGAAGGAAAGGUGAAAAGGACCCCGGGAGGGGAGUGAAAGAGAACCUGAAACCCUGUGUUUACAAGCUGUCGGAGCACUAUAUAUGUGCGACGGCGUACUUUUUGUAGAACGGUCCGGCGAGUUAUGGCAUGUGGUAAGGUUAAGUACUUCAGGUACGGAGCCGAAGCGAAAGCGAGUGUGAAAAGCACGUUCUAAUCGCCUGUCAUAUACCCGAAACCGGGUGAUCUAUCCAUGUCCAGGAUGAAGUUGCCGUAAAAGGCAAUGGAGGUCCGAACCCACAUCCGUUGAAAAGGGUGGGGAUGAGGUGUGGAUAGGGGAGAAAUUCCAAUCGAACCCGGAGAUAGCUGGUUCUCCUCGAAAUAGCUUUAGGGCUAGCCUCGUAUUAGUCUAGUGGAGGUAGAGCACUGAAUUUCCUAGGGGGCGUCAAAGCCUACCGAAGAAUAUCAAACUCCGAAUGGCGGCCAGAUGGUGUCAUGGAGUCAGACUGCACGAGAUAAGUUGGGUGGUCAAAAGGGAAAGAGCCCAGACCCACAGCUAAGGUCCCAAAGUGCGUGUUAAGUGGAAAAGGAUGUGGGAUUUCGAAGACAACUAGGAUGUUGGCUCAGAAGCAGCCAUACAUUCAAAGAGUGCGUAAUAGCUCACUAGUCGAGAGGUCCUGCGCCGAAAAUGUCCGGGGCUGAAACACAACACCGAAGCUCAGGAAUGUAUUUAUACAUUGGUAGAGGAGCAUUCUUAAAGGGGCGAAGCAGUACCGAUAAGGAGCUGUGGACUUUUAAGAAGAGAGAAUGCCGGAAUGAGUAGCGAGAUGGAGGUGGGAAUCCUCCAGGCCGAAUAUCUAAGGUUUCCAGGGUAAAGCUGAUCUGCCCUGGGUAAGUCGGGACCUAAGGCGAGGUCGAAAGACGUAGCCGAUGGACAACAGGUUGAAAUUCCUGUACUGCAUUAAAUCAGAACUGUGGGGACACAGAAGGAAGGCAUGAGCCGGAAAAGGAAAAUCCGGUGCAAGCAUGGGAGGGGUAUGACAGGCAAAUCCGUCAUGCAACCCGAGAAUGUGACGCGGAGCGAACAAAAGUAGCGAAGCAUGCUUACCGGCUGUCGAGAAAAGCCGCUAUUGCGUUUAAUGUACCCGUACCGUAAACCGACACAGGUGGAUGAGGAGAGAAUCCUAAGGCCGGCGGGAGAAGCAUUGUUAAGGAACUCGGCAAAAUGACCCCGUAACUUCGGGAGAAGGGGUGCCUGCGAGAGCAGGCCGCAGAGAAUAGGCUCAAGCAACUGUUUAGCAAAAACACAGGUCUAUGCGAAACCGAAAGGUGAGGUAUAUGGGCUGACGCCUGCCCGGUGCUGGAAGGUUAAGAGGAGAGGUUAGCGCAAGCGAAGCUUUGAAUUUAAGCCCCAGUAAACGGCGGCCGUAACUAUAACGGUCCUAAGGUAGCGAAAUUCCUUGUCGGGUAAGUUCCGACCCGCACGAAAGGCGUAAUGAUUUGAGCGCUGUCUCGACAAUGCACCCGGUGAAAUUGAAAUACCAGUGAAGAUGCUGGUUACCUGCGCCAGGACGGAAAGACCCCAUGGAGCUUUACUCCAGCUUGAUACUGGGAUUCGGUAAUGCAUGCACAGGAUAGGUGGGAGGCUAUGAGUAUGGAACUCCGGUUUCAUAUGAGCCGCUGUUGGGAUACCACCCUUGCGUUACUGGGUUUCUAACCAUGGUCCAUGAUCUGGAUCGGGGACAAUGUCAGGUGGGGAGUUUGACUGGGGCGGUCGCCUCCGAAAGGGUAUCGGAGGCGCUCAAAGGUUCCCUCAGAAUGGUUGGAAACCAUUCGAAGAGUGCAAAGGCAGAAGGGAGCUUGACUGCGACACCGACGGGUGGAGCAGGUACGAAAGUAGGACUUAGUGAUCCGGUGGUAUGAAAGUGGGAUUGCCAUCGCUCAACGGAUAAAAGCUACCCUGGGGAUAACAGGCUUAUCACUCCCAAGAGUUCACAUCGACGGAGUGGUUUGGCACCUCGAUGUCGGCUCAUCGCAUCCUGGGGCUGAAGUAGGUCCCAAGGGUUGGGCUGUUCGCCCAUUAAAGUGGUACGCGAGCUGGGUUCAAAACGUCGUGAGACAGUUUGGUUCAUAUCCAUCGCGGGCGCAAGAAGUUUGAGAGGAGCUGCUCCUAGUACGAGAGGACCGGAGUGGACGGAUCAACGGUGUCCCAGUUGUCACGCCAGUGGCACGGCUGGAAAGCCGCAUCCGGGAAGGAUAAACGCUGAAAGCAUCUAAGCGCGAAGCCAACCUCAAGAUGAGACUUCUCAUCAGCAAUGAGUAAGACCCCUUACAGACGAUGAGGUAGAUAGGUUAUGAGUGGAAGAGCCGCAAGGCUUGGAGCGACAUAAAACUAAUAGGUCGAGGUCUUAACUU
Molecule: ribosomal RNA, 2889 nt
Filed under: human gut metagenome
Description: bacterial LSU rRNA
Rfam family: Bacterial large subunit ribosomal RNA
Source: RNAcentral